AGGAACUUCCUGGCUGAAAUCUGAAACCAGCCUCCAUCCUCGAAGGCCAAGCACAAACCAAGAAAGAGGCAGACGAUUCUAGACUGGAUUCUGGAUAGUGGGACCAGUGUGUAUUUUAAGUACGAAACAGUGAUUCAAAUAUGAAAAAGGCUUUAUAAGGAAUUCUCUGGCACAUGAAGAAGCUUGAUUCAAAAAGAGAAGCUGAGUGGUUUGCUUGCCCAACAGAAGUGUCAUUCUUCUGUUCUUCUGAGAUUAGGCCAAGGACACCUUGCAUCUUUCCCCAAGAUUUCUUGGAAUACUUGCUCUUGGAAACCAGCUACCAAGCUGUGAGAAAGCCCAAGUGAUCCUGUAGAAAAGCUUAUGGGGAGAGGGACUACUGAUCCAGCAAUAUUGGCCCACUGAGAUCCUGGCAGGAGUCACCCACUUACCAGUCUUGAGUAAGCCACUUUGGCAAUGGGUCCUCCACACCACGUGAACUACCAAAGCUGAUGCUGAACGAAGCAGAGAUGAGCCAUACUUUCUGAGCUCUGCUUAAAAUUCACAUCUGUGAGCAAAAUAAUCAUUGUUGCAAUUUUAAGCCAUUAAGUAUUGAAGUGGUUUGUUCAGUACUAAUCAAUAACCAGAAUAUCUUGCCUGCAUGCAUGCAGAUUAACACCACUAGAGAAAAAAGCACAAUCAUGCUGACUGGCUUUGAUUUAAAUCUUGCUCACAAAACUGCAGCAGCUUUUAAGGCUUUCCAGCAGUAACACUGCAUUGCCUUAUCCACUCACUUUUUUAAAAGAAUGUCACCUAUCUGCUUACUUUCUUACUUUCUUAAAAGAAUGUAUCUUAUAUUUUCCUCUCUCCUCAAACCUGAAACACCUUUCUUUCCCUUUAUUUCCUAACCUUGUUUCCUGUUUUCUGAUAAAGAAAAAGCACUUGGCACAUAAUUUUCACAACCUCCUAUCAUCACUUCUACCUCCUAGUUGCUUAUAGAACAAAAUUAUUUUCUUUUUAUUAAUUUUCCUACUCCUUCUCAGUCUGCUUUUUUGUUCUACCUCUUCUCCCUUUACUUGUAUCUUUAGAAUUACUGAAGGGAAAAUCCAUGGACUCUUUCAUCUCUACUCAUACUCACUCUCUUGGUGGCCCCAUUCAGCCUUAUGGCUUUAAAUAUCACUGAAAUGACACAGCUUGAUUUAUAGACAUAGCUCAAAGAUAUUGUGGGGUUUGAUUCAGAUAAUGGAAAUAAAGCAAAUGUUGCAAUAAAAGAAAGCACACAGAUUUUUUGGUUUUACAGUAAUUAUAAAAAUUAUGCUUAGAAGACUCUUGAGAGUCCCUUGGACUGCAAGGAGAUCCAACCAGUCCA
Bubalus bubalis (water buffalo) is the source of this 1345-nucleotide long non-coding RNA. RefSeq lists it as uncharacterized. The transcript has 3 exons. NCBI's taxonomy places the organism in Eukaryota, Metazoa, Chordata, Mammalia, Artiodactyla, Bovidae. The record is from RefSeq and is a predicted model, not a curated record.